AGAGAUGCACUGGGCUUAAAGCGUGCGCAGGCGGUUUUGUAAGACAGAGGUGAAAUCCCCGGGCUCAACCUGGGAACUGCCUUUGUGACUGCAAGGCUGGAGUGCGGCAGAGGGGGAUGGAAUUCCGCGUGUAGCAGUGAAAUACGUAGAUAUGCGGAGGAACACCGAUGGCGAAGGCAAUCCCCUGGGCCUGCACUGACGCUCAUGCACGAAAGCGUGGGGAGCAAACA
Molecule: ribosomal RNA, 230 nt
Filed under: uncultured Alicycliphilus sp.
Lineage: Bacteria; Pseudomonadati; Pseudomonadota; Betaproteobacteria; Burkholderiales; Comamonadaceae
Description: partial 16S ribosomal RNA
Rfam family: Bacterial small subunit ribosomal RNA
Source: RNAcentral